CACGGGGGGAACGAGCGUUGUUCGGAUUUACUGGGCGUAAAGGGUGCGUAGGCGGGUCGGCAAGUCGGGUGUGAAAUUCCAUGGCUUAACCAUGGAUCUGCAUUCGAAACUGCCGGUCUUGAGUACUGGAGAGGUGAGUGGAAUUCCUGGUGUAGCGGUGAAAUGCGUAGAUAUCAGGAGGAACACCGUUGGCGAAGGCGGCUCACUGGACAGAUACUGACGCUGAGGAACGAAGGUCGGGGGAGCAAACAGG
RNAcentral lists this ribosomal RNA (253 nucleotides) under uncultured bacterium. Its description in RNAcentral is "partial 16S ribosomal RNA". It matches the Rfam family "Bacterial small subunit ribosomal RNA", at positions 524 to 776 of the family's 1533-position model. The record is from RNAcentral.